Molecule: ribosomal RNA, 253 nt
Filed under: uncultured bacterium
Lineage: Bacteria
Description: partial 16S ribosomal RNA
Rfam family: Bacterial small subunit ribosomal RNA
Source: RNAcentral
UACGUAGGGUGCAAGCGUUGUCCGGAAUUAUUGGGCGUAAAGAGCUCGUAGGCGGUCUGUUACGUCGGCUGUGAAAACCCGGGGCUCAACCCCGGGCCUGCAGUCGAUACGGGCAGACUAGAGUGCGGUAGGGGAGACUGGAAUUCCUGGUGUAGCGGUGAAAUGCGCAGAUAUCAGGAGGAACACCGGUGGCGAAGGCGGGUCUCUGGGCCGAUACUGACGCUGAGGAGCGAAAGCGUGGGGAGCGAACAGG